Molecule: long non-coding RNA, 1138 nt
Organism: Carcharodon carcharias (great white shark)
Lineage: Eukaryota; Metazoa; Chordata; Chondrichthyes; Lamniformes; Lamnidae
Exons: 3
Source: RefSeq, a predicted model, not a curated record
AUUUCCCUUCCCCAGGCAUGCCCCCACCCCCUGAGGUUUGUUCUUACAUGGACCUUUCCUCUUGGAAUUGGCCUCCCGACCCACCCUUCCUACAUAUGUUCCAACCUACCCCACCCCCUUCCUUUGUGAUUCCAAUCCCCGCCUUCCUUCAUGUGCGUGCCACCUGCUGUACAAUACACUGCCAGUAUCCGAAAGAAGAGCUGUGCGAAUGUCAAAGGCAACAUCCAGUGGCAGGACAAGGUCAUCCAUCACCACCAGGAGAGAGCAGAACUGGUACAAGAACAGUGACAUCUACAUCUCCUGAGUCCCACACAGGAAAUGGUCAUCUGCAUUGUGGGGCCAGCUGUGACAGAGCCCAUGACAUUUGGUGUCACUGAGAACAUUAAGAAUUUGAUUCAAGUGGCUUGCAAAUGGACAGGGCGAUUUAUAUUUAUAAUAGCUUCAAAUCAGAGAUAAGAUAUCAAUCUGCAGUUUUGACAGCAAAAAACAAUAAUAAAUGUAAUCAUCUGCCCUAGUCUGUAUUACUGUAUCACCUGAGUAUGAGUUUGAUACCAGAAAAUGUCAUGUUUGUCACAUGAAACAAACCCUCAAGCAGUUUUGAUAAAACUAACAUUUUGUUGUUAUUGUGAUAUCACUUGGUGAUGGUAGAAAUAUGGUUCUAACAUGAAGUUUGACAUAUUAUUUCUCUUAUGGGUGGUGUAGAAAUUUCUUACCCUCCUGAUUUAUAAUUCACACAUGACAAGAUGUGUAAAAGGAACGUAAGAACAGAGAUUAGUAAUAUUUGAUAAAUGAAUGCUGCGUUGUUCACUGAUGGCACAUUUAAAAAUGCUGGAACAUUGACAAGGAAUUCAUUCCCAAAUAGAACAAAAGUGAAAGCCAUGUGACCUGCUAUUUGAGUUUUGAAAUGCAGAAUGAUAAAAAGAUGACUGAAUAAUGAACUUUGAUCCAGUGUAUAAUUUGAUAUAAAUUGUAAGGUUGUAUUUGGAUUCCACGUUCUAGUUGUAUAGAGAGUUCCUGCAAUAAAUCUGCAAACGAGUGCAUCCAAAAUAGUCCACUUGUUUUACUGAAGACCUUGGAGUGAGAAAUGGUUAUGAAAGGACUGCCAUUGAAAUACAUUCUGUCAUUUUAAUUUUCAAUU